GAUGAACGCUGGCGGCGUGCCUAAUACAUGCAAGUCGAGCGAACGGACGAGAAGCUUGCUUCUCUGAUGUUAGCGGCGGACGGGUGAGUAACACGUGGAUAACCUACCUAUAAGACUGGGAUAACUUCGGGAAACCGGAGCUAAUACCGGAUAAUAUUUUGAACCGCAUGGUUCAAAAGUGAAAGACGGUCUUGCUGUCACUUAUAGAUGGAUCCGCGCUGCAUUAGCUAGUUGGUAAGGUAACGGCUUACCAAGGCAACGAUGCAUAGCCGACCUGAGAGGGUGAUCGGCCACCCUGGACCUGAGACACGGUCCAGCCUCCUACGGGAGGCAGCAGUAGGGAAUCUUCCGCAAUGGGCGAAAGCCUGACGGGGCAACGCCGCGUGAGUGAUGAAGGUCUUCGGAUCGUAAAACUCUGUUAUUAGGGAAGAACAUAUGUGUAAGUACCUGUGCACAUCUUGACGGUACCUAAUCAGAAAGCCACGGCUAACUACGU
RNAcentral lists this ribosomal RNA (496 nucleotides) under uncultured bacterium. RNAcentral describes it as "partial 16S ribosomal RNA". It matches the Rfam family "Bacterial small subunit ribosomal RNA", at positions 28 to 506 of the family's 1533-position model. The record is from RNAcentral.